UGGGGAAUUGUUCGCAAUGGGCGCAAGCCUGACGACGCAACGCCGCGUGGAGGAUGAAGACCUUCGGGUCGUAAACUCCUUUCGAUCGAGACGAAUGGCCCCUGGGCUAAUCACCAGGGGAAUGACGGUACCGAGAGAAGAAGCCCCGGCUAACUCCGUGCCAGCAGCCGCGGUAAUACGGGGGGGGCAAGCGUUGUUCGGAAUUACUGGGCGUAAAGGGCUCGUAGGCGGCCAACUAAGUCAGACGUGAAAUCCCUCGGCUUAACCGGGGAACUGCGUCUGAUACUGGAUGGCUUGAAUCCGGGAGAGGGAUGCGGAAUUCCAGGUGUAGCGGUGAAAUGCGUAGAUAUCUGGAGGAACACCGGUGGCGAAGGCGGCAUCCUGGACCGGCAUUGACGCUGAGGAGCGAAAGCCAGGGGAGCAAACG
RNAcentral lists this ribosomal RNA (427 nucleotides) under uncultured bacterium. RNAcentral describes it as "bacterial SSU rRNA". It matches the Rfam family "Bacterial small subunit ribosomal RNA", at positions 355 to 774 of the family's 1533-position model. The record is from RNAcentral.